RNAcentral lists this ribosomal RNA (260 nucleotides) under uncultured Streptococcus sp. RNAcentral describes it as "partial 16S ribosomal RNA". It matches the Rfam family "Bacterial small subunit ribosomal RNA", at positions 1121 to 1382 of the family's 1533-position model. Lineage: Bacteria; Bacillati; Bacillota; Bacilli; Lactobacillales; Streptococcaceae. The record is from RNAcentral.
UCAUUCAGUUGGGCACUCUAGCGAGACUGCCGGUAAUAAACCGGAGGAAGGUGGGGAUGACGUCAAAUCAUCAUGCCCCUUAUGACCUGGGCUACACACGUGCUACAAUGGUUGGUACAACGAGUUGCGAGUCGGUGACGGCGAGCUAAUCUCUUAAAGCCAAUCUCAGUUCGGAUUGUAGGCUGCAACUCGCCUACAUGAAGCCGGAAUCGCUAGUAAUCGCGGAUCAGCAUGCCGCGGUGAAUACGUUCCCGGGCCUU